Molecule: ribosomal RNA, 491 nt
Filed under: uncultured bacterium
Lineage: Bacteria
Description: partial 16S ribosomal RNA
Rfam family: Bacterial small subunit ribosomal RNA
Source: RNAcentral
AGUGAACGCUGGCGGUAGGCCUAACACAUGCAAGUCGAACGGCAGCACAGUAAGAGCUUGCUCUUACGGGUGGCGAGUGGCGGACGGGUGAGGAAUACAUCGGAAUCUACUUUUUCGUGGGGGAUAACGUAGGGAAACUUACGCUAAUACCGCAUACGACCUACGGGUGAAAGCAGGGGAUCUUCGGACCUUGCGCGAUUGAAUGAGCCGAUGUCGGAUUAGCUAGUUGGCGGGGUAAAGGCCCACCAAGGCGACGAUCCGUAGCUGGUCUGAGAGGAUGAUCCGCCACACUGGAACUGAGACACGGUCCAGACUCCUACGGGAGGCAGCAGUGGGGAAUAUUGGACAAUGGGCGCAAGCCUGAUCCAGCCAUACCGCGUGGGUGAAGAAGGCCUUCGGGUUGUAAAGCCCUUUUGUUGGGAAAGAAAAGCAGCAGGUUAAUACCCCGCUGUUCUGACGGUACCCAAAGAAUAAGCACCGGCUAACUUCGU